GCGGUACCCUUUUCCCCUCGGGCAGAAGCGGAUGCGGCGAGGACUGAGAUGCCCUUUUCAACGGCCGGUCCGGCGGCGGCCAGCGCCAAUGGCUGUAGCAAGCGUAGGACUCCACAGAAUACCUCGCGGGGAUCUAGAUCUUUGUCGGUGUGUUCUCUACUCCACGACUAACGGCACCGGCGUCAUCUAGCCGCCAGCGCAUCCUCAACUCUACCAGCUUCGGGCGGCAGAAGGAGGGGAGGCACGCCACGGCCGAGCAGCAGCAGCUGCCGACCAUGGCUAGGACGGAGAGCAGGUGUCCACGGCUGAGCCUUCUGCUCCUUCCCCCAUUCGUUUCUACCUUCAGUUUCUAUUUCCUAAGUUUGGACAUGGAUUUAGUGAGGAAAAGAAUCACGGGAAUAUAGGUGGAUUGGACAAGUCAGGCGACCAUGAAAGCAAAGAUUGUUUGGACGCACACUCCUAUUUGGUGAAAUGCAGAUUGGAAGAUGGGAGCUUGCUAUCUGAACAGAGUACUUUUACCUCUCACUAUUAAGUUAUUCCUUUUUUCCUAUUCUGCUUUGGAAUAAUUGAGACAAUAUUUCAUUGUUUAUUUGGUGUUUUAUUGACUGAAGCUUGAUCUUCUCUUCUUAACUGCAAACAUGAUUUUAAAAUCAUAUUGAUACAGUAAAACAGUUCGAGCAUAUUGUGCUUUAAAUCUGUGGUGACAACUAACAAAGAUUACAUAAAAAUUAUCGUUGGCCUUUUCAACACACCCUUUUGUACAUUGUACUUACUUACCAUGUUAUAAGCCAUAUUUGGGUGAUAAACUGAUAAUUGCUGAAACAUAGUUUCCUUGUAGAUACGAGAAUGGAUAUCGAAGAGUGAGACAACUUGCUGACAAAAUGAUGAAGUACAAUACCUUGAAACCUCCUGGAUUUUCUUUGGAUUGCCAUGUUGUUCCCUUUCACAUAGGGAUUGAUAAUGAAACACUAGACGGUGUUCUUGCACUGAUUUUUUCAUAGUGUAUCUUGGAUGUGAAAUUGGGAGAAUCGCCGUAUUUGCUUUUAGUUCCUAGCCCGCAUCUCUUCCUGUCGUUCCUACGCGCUGUGUGUUAUAGGCUUACUGGUCACAAAUAUUUGCAGUUUAACAGUCAGUUUCACAACUUUCAUGAAUGCAUCAAAUCAAUUUCAAUGUUGGCAUUAACUUUCUAUUAAGAUGAAUUACCCACUGUACAUUACAAUGGUGGCUGCUGAUAUCAGCUAAUUGUAUUAUUACUUUUGAACCUUGCUUACUGUUAAUUGCAGGUUUUGCAAAGAAAAGGAAAAUAAGGAAUCAAAUAAUGGCUUAGCAUAUAUUUUUUGGAAGGUCCUGAUGUUGAUAAGCUAGAUAAGAUGCAUCGAGAGCCUCCAACAUUGUUGCAUUGUUGUACCGUGCUCUCUAAAUUACAUGAAGCUGAAAGAUCAAAUUGGUAGAGGUCAUUUCCGCAUUGGUACUACAA
Molecule: long non-coding RNA, 1477 nt
Organism: Lolium rigidum
Lineage: Eukaryota; Viridiplantae; Streptophyta; Magnoliopsida; Poales; Poaceae
Exons: 5
Source: RefSeq, a predicted model, not a curated record